GUAAGUAUCCACUGUAUCCAUGGAAAUGGGUGAGCUCACUGGAAAAGUGCAUUGUGGGAGAAGAGGAGCAUGGUCAGAGACUUGAGGACACUGAGUUACACAGACCGGCAGAGGGAAGGUUGUCAAAAAUAGGAGACAGAAGUAGUGGCAGAGAUGGAGGAAAACCAGGUGACUAUGGCUUAACAGACGGCAAGUAAAGAGAGCACUCCAAGCAGACAGGAACAGUGAACAGUGUGAAAUGCUCAGAGGUUAAGUCAAGUAAGAAAUGAGAAUGGUUCACUAGAUUUAGCAUCAGUGGGGUAGGAAUUAUAACUCAGGAUGAAAGCAGUUUCUGAAGACAGGUGUGAGAAGAGGCAGACUGUGGUUAGUCAAAGGGGAAGAGAAGUGAGGACGUCAUAGAGAAUGUAAAAAGUUAUUUCAAGAACUUGGUCUGUGAGGGAAAAGAGAGGAACUGAAGAAAAGUAUGGGGUACAGGAUGGAAGGCAAGGGUUGGAGGAGAUUUCUUUUCUCUCUCUUUUUUUGUCUUUGACAUGAAAGAUACUGGAGGACAUUGAAAUGGGAGGAACCUAGUGAAAAUGCUGGCAUAUAGAAAAGAGAUGUCAUUGUUGGAGGGAAGUUCCUGAGGGGACCCAGAGUGAUGAGAGCAGAGGCACAGGGUAGAAGCUAACCCUAGGGGAAGCAUAUUCCUCUAUUCCUAGCACAGGAAUAGAAAAGGGGUGGCAGGAAAUUGUAUGUAUUCUCUUCUGGGUCAUCUAUUUUCUUAUGAAUCAGCAGUCAAGAUCACCUGAAGCACUGUUUCCAAGCUCUGUUUCCCAGCAUCCAUGAACUAAGCAACUUUACUCUGCUAUGACUUCCCACCGUAAUGUUUCUGCCUUGGAACCAGCAGACCAUGGACCGAGUACUCUGAAACCAUGAGCUAAAUAAACCUCUUCUUUACAUUACCUAUUAUUUUCAAUGCAAUCCAUGGACCAGGCAGCAGCAUCACCUGGAGAGAAGCUUCUUGGAAAUACAGUAUGGCAAGCUCUGCCCCAGACAUGCAGAUUCAGACCCUGCCUUCUAACAAUGGCCACAGAUCAGCAGAAACAGAUCAGCAGCACCCUUUGGAGAUUGGCAUGGUAAUGAAAACCUUUCUGGGUCAGAGGACGCUGCAUUCUAGAAGAGCACCUAUUAACUUCCCUGUUCAUGUGAGCAGCCUGGAAUGAGAAAAGGAAGAAAAGGGCACAAAAUACAGAAUACCAAAACAUGGAUCCUGGUAAGCUCAAAGAACGCCGAUGGAUGAUAAGGCUCUGAAAGAUGGACAGAGGUAAUGUAUGAAGCAAUGGUAUGUGAGGUUAUUGGGCAAGUCAGAGUUGCUUCUGCCACAUCCAACAAGUGAACACCACAAGUGACCAGCCCACAUCAGUUCCUUUGAGUUCAUGGUAAGAGAUCAUUUUCCUUUGUAAAAUUCUGUAACACAUAACCAUCUAUGGCUCUUCCAUUCUAUCAAAUACCACUGGCUCUAAAACAGAGGGGGCUGGAGCAGCCCUUCUGUACUUAGAGGUACUUGAGAACUGUAUCAUUUCUAAUUAUAAGAAGAGGACUCAUUAAUUAUAGACAAGGACAGUUUGUGGAGUUCUAAUAUUUACUGUGCUCCAAGAAAUCUGUUCUAAGGACUUUGCCAUCUAAUCAUCAGUCCUCUCAGCAAUGAUAUAAUCAAAAGGAAUGUGCACACUAAACCCCUGGACUAGUAGUCAUCUAUGCUCUUCAAAAAGAUAUCCAAUAAUACAGGUGAUAUCUCCACCAAUAAAUAUAAAAUUAACAAUUUAGGCAUUCAUUGAGAAUCUAAAAUUUAUUUUAAUAGACUUCUUAUUUACUUUUCUCAUUGCUGAGACAAAAUACUCAACAUCCACAAAUUGCAAGAGGAAAAGUUUAUUUCAGCUCAGUUUGUAGAGGUUUCAGUCCAUAGUUGGCUGGCUCCAAGGCACGGAAGCAUGACAGAGAGGCUUUGCAGAGGAGAAACAGUCCAUGGUAUGGUAGACACAAAGCAGUAAGCAACAUCAGAAGAAGCAGCAGGAGCAGCAGCACCAGCAAGCCCCUCUUUCCCUUUUAUCUCACCCAGGCUACAAGCCUUUUGGGUGGUGCCAGCAAACCCAGGGUGGGCCUUACCAUUAUCCGCACUCAAACCUAUGCUAACUCCAAUCAGUGGACUAAUUUAGUAGCACAUACCCUUAAUCCCAGUACAAGACACCCUAGAUCCAGCUAGUUCCAAAUAGCCCCAUCUAUGAGUGUGUGAGGGUUUGGAAGGACAUCUAGAUACAAUAAUAACAGAGGAUCAUAUCAAACUGUGUGGAGAACAGUAGGUUUUAUUUAUAAACAUGAAAAAUCUUACUUUUCUUUUUUUUUAAUUUUUAAGGUAGAAAUUCUGAUGAGCUUGGAUAUUCUCAAGUCUUACUUUGCUUGGAGGAUGAAGUGACACACAGAACAUUGGAAUGCUGCCUCAUUCACAUACGGCUUACCUUGCAUGCAUUCUAACAGCAAUGUGCAAGAAGCAGAGACUGGCAAAUUCACAAAUAUAUAGGGAUUUGAGAUUUCCCAUGCAAGUUAUUCCAGAAAUGCCAAGUAUUUUGUUUAUGACAAAACAAGAACUAAAAUGUUGACUGCCAUUUUCACCACCAGAGAGAAAACAGAGUGACAGGCUUUCAUGUUUUUGAUAAAAUAGGCAAAAGGGGAAUAGUCAUUAAUCUUGCUGAAGCUCUGUAAUAUAAAAUUAUUUAGGUGGCUGUGAAAGGAAAUUAAAUAUGCUAUAGAGAAAAAAAACAUAGCUUUUAGGGAGAUCUGCUGCUUUUUAAAAGACGAGUCUGUGAUUCUACAAUAAUGACAUAAAAGCCGAAAUGCUAUUUCCUAGUCUAUUACAUUUUAGCUGUCACUGAAACUAAAGUAAUGGAAAAGUUAUAUUUCUGUGUGUAAAGUAACUACAAAUUAUCCAUUCAUCACAAAACAUUUUAUCCUUUAUCUAUUUAGAUAUAAUUGUAGUCUUGCUCUUUUAAAUUUUAGAGAACAGGAUGUUGGUUAAUAAAAAUUCCAGUUAAAUAUUUUUUUGGUUAUUCUUGGUC
Long non-coding RNA from Heterocephalus glaber (naked mole-rat), 3092 nucleotides. NCBI's taxonomy places the organism in Eukaryota, Metazoa, Chordata, Mammalia, Rodentia, Bathyergidae. The record is from Ensembl.